UCGAACGCGAAAGUUCCCUUCGGGGAGCGAGUAGAGUGGCGCACGGGUGAGUAACACGUAGGUAAUCUACCUUUGGAUUGGGAAUAACAACCGGAAACGGUUGCUAAUACCGAAUAAUGCAGCGGCCCCUAAUGGUGACAGUUGUUAAAGCGGGGGAUCGCAAGACCUCCCGUCUAAAGAGGAGCCUGCGGCGGAUUAGCUAGUUGGUAAGGUAACGGCUUACCAAGGCGAUGAUCCGUAGCCGGCCUGAGAGGGCGGUCGGCCACACUGACACUGACAUACGGGUCAGACUCCUACGGGAGGCAGCAGUCGGGAAUUUUGGGCAAUGGGCGAAAGCCUGACCCAGCAACGCCGCGUGAAGGAUGAAAUCCUUCGGGAUGUAAACUUCGCAAGAACAGGAAGAAUAAGUAAGAGUUAAUAUCUCUUACGAUGACGGUACUGUUUGUAAGCUCCGGCUAACUCCGUGCCAGCAGCCGCGGUAAUACGGGGGGAGCAAGCGUUGUUCGGAUUUACUGGGCGUAAAGGGCGGGUAGGCGGCCACCGCAAGUCAGUUGUGAAAUCUCCGGGCUUAACCCGGAAAGGUCAACUGAUACUGCGGGGCUAGAGUGCAGAAGGGGCAACUGGAAUUCUCGGUGUAGCGGUGAAAUGCGUAGAUAUCGAGAGGAACACCUGCGGCGAAGGCGGGUUGCUGGGCUGACACUGACGCUGAACUGCGAAAGCUAGGGGAGCGAACGGGAUUAGAUACCCCGGUAGUCCUAGCCUUAAACGAUGAAUGCUUGGUGUCUGGGG
Molecule: ribosomal RNA, 789 nt
Filed under: uncultured Actinomycetes bacterium
Lineage: Bacteria; Bacillati; Actinomycetota; Actinomycetes
Description: bacterial SSU rRNA
Rfam family: Bacterial small subunit ribosomal RNA
Source: RNAcentral